UAACCCUGCCAUCAUCAUCAGUCUUCUUAAUAUCUCUCUGUCGUUGAUCCAUCGCCUCACUGUAUCGCUUUUGUCACUGAAUCAGUAACAAAAGACGGAAUCAUUGAUACCCAUUCUGGAGACUUCAUUUGCUGCAGGGUAGCACAUAGAGUGUUGUUCUUUUGAUCACCAAUUUUGUAAAUUUGUGCAAAGUAACAAAGGACGGAAUCAUUGAUACUAAUUUUGCCUUUGCUACAUUUCCGUCUAUUUUGGCAUGCGAACCAAGGAAACAGUGCACAAUUGGUUCGUCGUAACCCGCUGGUCCUAAAUCGACUUUGUUAUUCUUUGCUACACUUUACGCUUACGCUUCGGUCUAAUUUCUUAGCAUCGACACGCCAAAAUGGGUUGUGCGGUUCAACGAUUUACGUCUGCUUUUCGAUCGGU
This 423-nucleotide long non-coding RNA is filed under the name Helianthus annuus (common sunflower). Lineage: Eukaryota; Viridiplantae; Streptophyta; Magnoliopsida; Asterales; Asteraceae. The record is from RNAcentral.